This 795-nucleotide ribosomal RNA is filed under the name Triticum aestivum (bread wheat). RNAcentral describes it as "partial small subunit ribosomal RNA". The record is from RNAcentral. Lineage: Eukaryota; Viridiplantae; Streptophyta; Magnoliopsida; Poales; Poaceae.
AUGUCUGCACCAAUCAUCAGCGCCACCAUGGGGGCGAUGAACCCCCUCAUCGGCAAGCUUGCUGCACUGAUGGGCGACGAGUACAAGAAGCUCACGUCAGUCAGGAAGCAGGCCUCGUUCCUCAAGGAUGAGCUUAGUGCCAUGAAAGCUCUACUUGAGAAGCUUGAGCUCAUGGAUGAACUGGAUCCCUUGGCCAAGAACUGGAGGGAUCAUGUGAGGGAGAUGUCCUACAACAUGGAGAAUUGCAUCGAUGACUUCAUGCGAGACCUUGGAGGUGUCGAUGUCAAAACAAGCUUUAUCAAGAAGACAGUCGAACGUCUCAAGACGUUGCGGAAGCGUCAUCGUACUGCUGAACGGAUGGAGGAACUCAAGGUUCUUGCGUUGUACAAGAUUGAUGAUUGCAUCAAUUCUACUUCUCGCGUCAUUCAUGUUGAUCCUCGCAUGUCGGGAAUCUACAAGGAUGCAAGAGGCCUUGUGGGUAUUGAUGGCCCAAAGAAAGAGCUUGUAAGUUGGUUGACAGAUACCCAGGAGAAACUCAAGGUGGUGGCCAUUGUUGGAUUCGGGGGUCUUGGUAAAACUACACUCGCCAAACAAGUGUAUGAUGAGAUCGGAGGACAGUUCACUUCUAAAGCAUUUGUAUCGGUUUCUCAAAGACCUGAUAUAAUAAGCCUUCUCAGUGGCCUACAAUUGAAGCUUGGGAUGAAGGGGGAGUCAUCUCAGGCUCGUGAGGUGCAAGAUACCAUUGACCUUCUUAGACAACAUCUCGCGCAUGAGAGGUACACAUAUUCUUCUUAA